CUGGGAGGAGGCUGUUUACUCU
This 22-nucleotide microRNA is filed under the name Capra hircus (goat). RNAcentral's name for it is "chi-miR-30f-3p". Its record names the gene chi-miR-30f-3p. The record is from miRBase by way of RNAcentral. Lineage: Eukaryota; Metazoa; Chordata; Mammalia; Artiodactyla; Bovidae.